Molecule: ribosomal RNA, 622 nt
Filed under: Merodon trochantericus
Lineage: Eukaryota; Metazoa; Arthropoda; Insecta; Diptera; Syrphidae
Description: eukaryotic LSU rRNA
Rfam family: Eukaryotic large subunit ribosomal RNA (bases 401-622)
Source: RNAcentral
AGUACGUGAAACUGCUUAGAGGUUAAGCCCGAUGAACCUGAAUAUCCAUUAUGGAAAAUUCAACAUUAAUAUUAUAAUAUUUAUUUAUAAAUAUUAUAAAAAUAGUGUGCAAUUUUUCCAUAUAAGGACAUUGUAAUCUGUUAAUGUAAUAAAUAUUUAUCAUAAGAUUCAGUAUAUAAAAGUUUAUUCAAAUUAGUUAUUUUCCGAUUUCUAACAUAGAAUAAAUUUAAUUGAAUUUGAUAAAUCAUUGACAGAUUUAUUUAUAUAUAGUGCUUAAAUUCUUAAUUGAAUUUUACAAUAAUUUAUAAAUGUAUUUUCAUUUAUUUAUUUAUUGUAUGCACUUAUAUGAUUAACAAUGCUAUAGAUUCAGGAUACCUUCGGGACCCGUCUUGAAACACGGACCAAGGAGUCUAACAUAUGUGCAAGUCAUUGGGUAUUUUUAAUAAAACCCAAAGGCAUAAUUAACUUAACUGUUUUUUUAUAUGGGAUUAGUUUAUAUUUUAUUAUGAAAUAUUUAUUCAAUCCCGGGGCGUUCUAUAUAGUUAUGUAUAAUAAUAUUUAUAUUAUUUAUGCCUCUAACUAGAGCGUACCUUGAGCAUAUAUGCUGUGACCCGAAAGAUGG